RNAcentral lists this ribosomal RNA (467 nucleotides) under uncultured bacterium. Its description in RNAcentral is "partial 16S ribosomal RNA". It matches the Rfam family "Bacterial small subunit ribosomal RNA", at positions 28 to 506 of the family's 1533-position model. The record is from RNAcentral.
GACGAACGCUGGCGGCGUGCUUAACACAUGCCAGUCGAACGGAAAGGCCCUGCUUUUGUCGGGUGCCCGAGUGGCGAACGGGUGAGUAACACGUGAGUACCCUGCCCUGGACUUUGGGAUAACUUCAGGAAACUGGGGCUAAUACCGGAUAGGAGCUCCUGCUGCAUGGUGGGGGUUGGAAAGUUUUGGCGGUUGGGGAGGGACUCGCGGCUUAUCAGCUUGUUGGGGGGGUAGUGGCUUACCAAGGCUUUGACGGGUAGCCGGCCUGGGAGGGUGACCGGCCACAUUGGAAAUGGGAUGCGGCCCAGGCUCCUGCGGGAGGAAGGAGUGGGGAAUAUUGCACAAUGGGCGGAAGCGUGAUGCAGCAACGCCGCGUGGGAGAUGACGGCCUUCGGGUUGUAAACCGCUUUCGCCUGUGACGAAGCGUGAGUGACGGUAAUGAGUAAAGAAGCACCGGCUAACUACGU